RNAcentral lists this long non-coding RNA (329 nucleotides) under Volvox carteri. RNAcentral describes it as "long non-coding RNA (VCAR_LNC001392)". The record is from RNAcentral. Lineage: Eukaryota; Viridiplantae; Chlorophyta; Chlorophyceae; Chlamydomonadales; Volvocaceae.
CAGCUGCCCCCCCCAUGAGGCCACCCAAAUCCAGCAGCUGCUGCUGCCUGCCAGGCGUGAGGCCAGGCGCGCCGGCCUGCACCAAGCCGCCAACGCUGCUGCCGCCAGCUGCACCCCCCAUGAGGCCACCCAAAUUCAUGAGCUGCUGCUGCCUGCCAGGCGUGAGGCCAGGUGCGCCGGCCUGCGCCAAGCCGCCAACGCUGCUGCCGCCAGCUGCCCCCCCCCCAUGAGGCCCCCCAAAUUCAUGAGCUGCUGCUGCCUGCCAGGCGUGAGGCCAGGCGCGCCGGCCUGCGCCAAGCCGCCAGCGCUGCUGCCGCCAGCUGCUCCCC